CGGCGUGUGUUUCAGUUAGUAGAGCGUUCAAAUAGCAUACGCAACUAUAUGCGAAAGGUCCUGGGUUCGAUUCCCAGCUCGUCCA
Immersiella caudata is the source of this 85-nucleotide non-coding RNA. The record is from the annotation of a GenBank genome assembly. Lineage: Eukaryota; Fungi; Ascomycota; Sordariomycetes; Sordariales; Lasiosphaeriaceae.